Molecule: ribosomal RNA, 110 nt
Filed under: Caerostris darwini
Lineage: Eukaryota; Metazoa; Arthropoda; Arachnida; Araneae; Araneidae
Source: RNAcentral
UAGCCGUACCAUGCUGAAUAUACCGGUUCUCGUUAGAUCACCGAAGUUAAGCAUCAUUGGGCGCGGUCAGUACUUGGGUGGGUGACCACCUGGGAACACUGCGUGCCGUU